GACGAACGCUGGCGGCGUGCUUAACACAUGCAAGUCGAACGGAAAGGCCCUGCUUUUGUGGGGUGCUCGAGUGGCGAACGGGUGAGUAACACGUGAGUAACCUGCCCCUGACUUUGGGAUAACUUCAGGAAACUGGGGCUAAUACCGGAUAGGAGCUCCUGCUGCUUGGUGGGGGUUGGAAAGUUUCGGCGGUUGGGGAUGGACUCGCGGCUUAUCAGCUUGUUGGUGGGGUAGUGGCUUACCAAGGCUUUGACGGGUAGCCGGCCUGCGAGGGUGACCGGCCACAUUGGGACUGAGAUACGGCCCAGACUCCUACGGGAGGCAGCAGUGGGGAAUAUUGCACAAUGGGCGGAAGCCUGAUGCAGCAACGCCGCGUGCGGGAUGACGGCCUGCGGGUUGUAAACCGCUUUCGCCUGUGACGAAGCGUGAGUGACGGUAAUGGGUAAAGAAGCACCGGCUAACUACGUG
Molecule: ribosomal RNA, 468 nt
Filed under: uncultured bacterium
Lineage: Bacteria
Description: partial 16S ribosomal RNA
Rfam family: Bacterial small subunit ribosomal RNA
Source: RNAcentral